CGUGGCGUGGAGUUGCGAGCCGGCGCCGGCUGGGCCCGCGGGCUCGCCGCAGAGGUGCGGGGGCGUUCGCAGCCCCUCGGUCUCUGCCCUCGGGGCCCUUGCGGGCGGGCUCGGCUAGAACCUGGGGCGCGUUCGCGAACGGGACCCCGGCAUCCCGCGAACUCGGUGGUUUGUAGACGCGCCAGUGCCCCAGGCGCCCGUGGACCGGUUCGCCCCGGGGCAGCCCCUCGAGAGGAACCGGGAAAGAAGGGUCGGGCGAGGCGGCGGCGGGACCCGGGAGCCCGCGCCGGAGGGCCCCGCGGCGCGCUCCUUGGGGACCCGCGGUUGAGGGGGCGUCCGCACGGUGGUAGGGUGGAGAGCGCCUUUCCCACCUGCUCCACCCUGGCGCAGCCUCGGUGUUCGCCCGUGGAAAUCCACUGGUUUCCAGCGAAGGGCGGGGGGCGCCGGGACCCCUGCCCCCGCCUGGUAGCGCUGUGCGUGCGAGGGCUUUCUGUGCACAGGGUCGUUUUCAUGCACCUUCCGUCUCGGCCCCCGCGCCCUUUUUGGCUUCUGAUGGCGUCUGAUGCAGUGGAGCUGAGAUUUUAAUGUCUUAAUUUAGUGGCACGGCCGUUGUGCCGUCGAGCGGAGAAGGGUGGCCGCGGGUCCACGUGUGCGUUAUUUAUUUGCAAAUGCUUGUCCAGAUGCAGUUCCUAACAACGGGUAACGGCUUCCUUGUGGUUACACUAACGACCCAGCCACCUGGGCGUACGCGGGAAGGUCGAAGAAAGCAAACGGGACCCCAGUGCAGUGCGCUGCCAGCGCUGUGUUAGCGGAUUGCUCCAGGUAGACAGCUCCUGGUCUGUGCUCGCGGAUCGCCUGACGCUACACAAACUCUUCAGAUGCUUACCUCCAGUAUUGGGGCAGCAUGGCCCAGAUUAGAAUAAAACUAAAAGACGUGUAAUUCCUGGUUUUUUGUUAUGUGAUGAACAAAGUUCAUGUUGGUCCAAGAUAAACUUUUGUUCUCUUUCCUGAUUGUUUUGAUUUAGUUGGGCCUGUUAGUGCUUUUUUACAUUUUAUUUAGUAGAAUGCCAUCCGCCUUCGCCUGGGUCACUCCCCGCAGGCCUGCAACAGCUGGGGGCUGGGCCUGAGAGAAGCCAGCGUCCCGGAACUCAAUCCAGGCUUCCCACGGGGGUGGCAGGAACCCAGCGACAGGAAGGAAGCGUUGCCCGCUGUCUCCGGGGUGUGCGUUAGCGGGAAACAGCAGAGCUGGGACUCAGGCCCCCGGCACUCUGAUGGGGGAGGCCAGCAUCCUAACCAGAUGCCAAACUGUGCUGCUGGGCGUGUUCUUAGAAACCAAGAAGCACCGUGCUCAGCUCGGCGGGCAGCAGUCAAAGAAAAAAGGACUAAGUGCAGAAGAAAAGAGAACCCGCAUGAUGGAAAUAUUUUUCGAGACGAAAGAUGUGUUUCAACUAAAAGACAUGGAGAAGAUUGCUCCCAAAGAAAAAGGCAUUACUGCCAUGUCAGUCAAAGACGUCCUCCAGAGUUUAGUUGAUGAUGGGAUGGUUGACUGUGAGAGGAUUGGAACAUCGAAUUACUACUGGGCUUUUCCUAGUAAAGCUCUUCACGUAAGGAAACGCAAGGUGGAGGUUCUGGAAUCUCAGUUGUCUGAGGGAAACCAAAAGUAUGCAAACCUACAGAAAAAUAUUGAGAAAGCUAAAAUUGGCCGACAUGAGACGGAAGAACGAGCCAUGAUAGCAAAAGAGCUUUCUUCACUGCGGGAAGAAAGGGACCAACUAAAAGCAGAAGUGGAGAAAUACAAGGAAUGUGACCCACAAGUUGUGGAAGAAAUACACCUACCCUACAAAAAAUACUAACGGGAGCCCUUCAGACUGAAGUGAAAGGACACUAGACCAUUGCUUGUUCAGCAUGAAGAAAUACAUCACAAUGAUAAAGAUUACUACAUAGCUACCAUGUGAACCACCAUUCCAUCCCUGGAUACAUACCCUGGAGACCCGAAAAUGCGUCCACGCAGAAAUUAAUAAUUACUCAUAAUAACAGAAACAACCCAAAUGUCCAUCAACUGGUGAAUGGAUGUCAAGCAAAUAAAAUAGCCAAAGAAGCUGCUAACAGAUGGACUGAUAACAUAUUUGCAAUAAAAUCUUGGGCCAAAAGAAAAUUUGGAUUGGAAGAAAAUAAAAUUGAUAAAAA
This is a non-coding RNA of Oryctolagus cuniculus (rabbit), 2187 nucleotides long. The record is from RefSeq and is a predicted model, not a curated record. Lineage: Eukaryota; Metazoa; Chordata; Mammalia; Lagomorpha; Leporidae.